Long non-coding RNA from Musca domestica (house fly), 329 nucleotides. RefSeq lists it as uncharacterized. The transcript has 2 exons. Lineage: Eukaryota; Metazoa; Arthropoda; Insecta; Diptera; Muscidae. The record is from RefSeq and is a predicted model, not a curated record.
UGUGUGUGUUUAAUAGAGAAUACCUAACAGAGAACGUGAAACUUAAAAUGAAGUUUAAUUUAUUAUUUUUAGUUUUGGUACUUAGUGGUUUCAUGGCAGCAUCAGGUAGUCGUACUCUUGCAUCUCUUGCAAGAAAUGCACACUUUGUUGGCAAACAGGUGUUGACAGCUGGUGAAUAUGUUGGAAAAGCCUCCACCGAGUUAAAGAGGGCAUUACAUAUGAAUAAGAAAUGAAAUUCAUUAAAUAUAUAAAAUUUAAUUAGGAAAUAUCCGUUAUAAAUUUCAGGAAUAAGCAAUAAAAUUAUCAAAUUUUGAAGUUUGGAAUAUAAA